GCGUCUGUAGCCUAGUGGUAAAGGCAGCACUCUAGUAUGUGUCCCAGUUCUUCUGGGGUCAUGGGUUCGAAUCCCAUCAGACACA
Melampsora americana is the source of this 85-nucleotide non-coding RNA. The record is from the annotation of a GenBank genome assembly. Lineage: Eukaryota; Fungi; Basidiomycota; Pucciniomycetes; Pucciniales; Melampsoraceae.